UGGGGAAUAUUGGACAAUGGGCGGAAGCCUGAUCCAGCAACGCCGCGUGAGGGAUGACGGCCUUCGGGUUGUAAACCUCUUUCAGUACCGACGAAGCGCAAGUGACGGUAGGUACAGAAGAAGCACCGGCCAACUACGUGCCAGCAGCCGCGGUAAUACGUAGGGUGCGAGCGUUGUCCGGAAUUAUUGGGCGUAAAGGGCUCGUAGGCGGUUUGUCGCGUCGGGAGUGAAAACGCCGUGCUUAACACGGCGCUUGCUUUCGAUACGGGCAGACUAGAGGUAUGCAGGGGAGAACGGAAUUCCUGGUGUAGCGGUGAAAUGCGCAGAUAUCAGGAGGAACACCGGUGGCGAAGGCGGUUCUCUGGGCAUUACCUGACGCUGAGGAGCGAAAGUGUGGGGAGCGAACAGG
Molecule: ribosomal RNA, 409 nt
Filed under: Bacillota bacterium
Lineage: Bacteria; Bacillati; Bacillota
Description: Firmicutes bacterium partial 16S ribosomal RNA
Rfam family: Bacterial small subunit ribosomal RNA
Source: RNAcentral